Long non-coding RNA from Oncorhynchus masou masou (cherry salmon), 454 nucleotides. RefSeq lists it as uncharacterized. The record is from RefSeq and is a predicted model, not a curated record. The transcript is spliced from 3 exons. NCBI's taxonomy places the organism in Eukaryota, Metazoa, Chordata, Actinopteri, Salmoniformes, Salmonidae.
UGAUGCAUGUGAUUGUCUUAAAUGCCUGACCAGGCUAAUUUCACAAUGUGUCAGUCACUAAAAUCACACUUCUUGUUUCUCUGCACAGCUACGACAGUAAAUUGACUCACUGUACAAGACCUCCCCCCUUCACUCUACUGCAGGGUGGGAGAUGCAACAAUGUCCUUGAGAACAGCAGGAAGUGUGUUGGGGGUCUUUCUCUGGUCUGUAGCAGUGGUACUGGGUCAGGAUGGCUGGAGUGUGACUUACACCACUCAGAGUAUCUGUACCUUGAAGGGGUCAACAGUGGAGCUGACCUGCUCUUAUACAUAUCCCAGAGGUAAAGUCACAACAACACUCUGGUUCACUAAAAUGGAGGCUGGUAUAUGAACCUGAAGAUAUAGGUCAGGACCCAGAGUAUUCAGGUCAUCUGGAGUAUCAUGGAGAUAAGAAGAAAGACUGUACCCUGAGAAUC